Molecule: long non-coding RNA, 1399 nt
Organism: Brienomyrus brachyistius
Lineage: Eukaryota; Metazoa; Chordata; Actinopteri; Osteoglossiformes; Mormyridae
Exons: 5
Source: RefSeq, a predicted model, not a curated record
GUCAGAUUCUGCAGUGUAUUAUUGUGCUGCUGUGUUUCUUCAUGAGGUCACCUUCGGGAAUGGAACCUUUGUCAUAAUCACAGGUAAAGACUCCAACAGCAGGACUGUGGUACAGCAGCCUGUGUCUGACACAUUGCAGCCAGGAGACUCUGUGAGCCUGCAGUGUACGAUAGAGACUGGGAGCUGUGCAGGAGAACACAGUGUUUACUGGUUCAGACAUGGAUCAGGAGAAUCCCUUCCUGGAGUCAUUUACAGCCAUGGAAACAGCAGUGAUGAGUGUGAGAAGAGCCCUGAGGCUGGAUCUCCUACACGGAGCUGCGUCUACAGCCUCCCCAAGGGGAACCUCAGCCUCUCCGAUGCUGGGACUUACUACUGCGCUGUGGCCAUGUGUGGGGAGAUGCUGUUUGGGAACGGCACAUAGCUGGAUAUAGAUGGCUUUCAGAAGCUGCUGGAUCCUCUUCACUCUGGCUUGCUGAUAGUUUUAUCUUGCAGCAUUAUUCUGAACGUUGCUCUCAUUUGUAUAAGAUGUAAACUGACCUGUACACACUGUGCAGAUGAAAAGAACAGUGAUAUAUCAAAAGUGGAAUGGUCACGCAAGCAAUGCCAUGACGAGGACACACUGAAUUACGCUGCCCUGAACCUUAAGAAGCCAAAACCCAGGAGACAGAAGAAAGACGGGAAUAAUGACACUCUGUAUUCUGACCUCCGCUACAGAGAUUAUGAAUAAAGAUGCUUCUCAUUCAUGUCAGUCACACAGAGUGUUCAGGGUGUAGCUUUAAUAAUGUUCAGAGGAGGGCAGGGGAGCCAGUGCUUCUGAGACUGAAUCACGGGAUUUUACGGAGUACCGGUGCUGAGUUUGGUGUCAGUGUGUUUGGGGCGCAUUUUUACUGGAAGUGCAAAUGUUCAAGCCAGACUGGGGGCUGAGGGAGGGGGAGAGGGGAGCCACAGAGAUUAUUUCUUCAUGGCAUGGGGGGGAAUAAGCGGCUUUAAUGUUGUGGAAAGGCUGAGUUGCUGCAAUCAGUUCUUUGAUGUCACACAUGCUUACUUGUCUCCCUUGUGUACCAUGCUGAAUGGUUUGGGGCAAACGCACAGGGACUGAUCGAUUAUAUUAAACAGAUGAAAGAAACUGAAUGAAAAUUUCAAGUGUUCUUAAAUUACGUUUUUCAUUUAAUUGUGUGUUCUGGAUGUAUUUUUGAGUAUAUACAUGUACCUGUAUAUGUACCUGUAUAUAUACCUGUGUCGUUAAUAACGAUGUGGAUAAUUAAGAAAGAGGAGUUUUGUUUCUUGCUCCCUGUCUUGUUACUUGGCUCACAAACAUACACACACAUAGACACACACACAAACAUACACAGACACACAAACACACACACACAUAGACACACACACACACAAACACACA